Molecule: ribosomal RNA, 253 nt
Filed under: uncultured bacterium
Lineage: Bacteria
Description: partial 16S ribosomal RNA
Rfam family: Bacterial small subunit ribosomal RNA
Source: RNAcentral
UACAGAGGAUGCAAGCGUUAUCCGGAAUGAUUGGGCGUAAAGCGUCUGUAGGUGGCUUUUUAAGUCCGCCGUCAAAUCCCAGGGCUCAACUCUGGACAGGCGGUGGAAACUACCAAGCUGGAGUACGGUAGGGGCAGAGGGAAUUUCCGGUGGAGCGGUGAAAUGUGUAGAGAUUGGGAGGAACACCGGUGGCGAAGGCGGGUCUCUGGGCCGUAACUGACGCUGAGGAGCGAAAGCGUGGGGAGCGAACAGG